UAGUCCACGCCGUAAACGAUGAUUACUAAGUGUUCGGUCUUCGGACUGAGUGCUCAAGCGAAAGCGAUAAGUAAUCCACCUGGGGAGUACGUCGGCAACGAUGAAACUCAAAGGAAUUGACGGGGGCCCGCACAAGCGGUGGAGCAUGUGGUUUAAUUCGAUGAUACGCGAGGAACCUUACCUGGGCUACAAUGCCUCUGCCAACUGCCGAAAGGUGGCUUUCCUACGGGACAGAGUGCAAGGUGCUGCAUGGUUGUCGUCAGCUCGUGCCGUGAGGUGUUGGGUUAAGUCCUAUAACGAGCGCAACCCCUGUUGUUAGUUGCCAGCAUGUAAAGAUGGGAACUCUAACAAGACUGCCGGUGCAAACCGUGAGGAAGGUGGGGAUGACGUCAAAUCAUCACGGCCCUUACGUCCUGGGCUACACACGUGCUACAAUGGUAGGGACAGAGAGCAGCCACUGGGCGACCAGGAGCGAAUCUAUAAAACCUAUCACAGUUCGGAUCGG
Molecule: ribosomal RNA, 505 nt
Filed under: uncultured bacterium
Lineage: Bacteria
Description: bacterial SSU rRNA
Rfam family: Bacterial small subunit ribosomal RNA
Source: RNAcentral